This is a long non-coding RNA of Lagopus leucura (white-tailed ptarmigan), 414 nucleotides long. RefSeq lists it as uncharacterized. The record is from RefSeq and is a predicted model, not a curated record. The transcript has 2 exons. Lineage: Eukaryota; Metazoa; Chordata; Aves; Galliformes; Phasianidae.
UUUUGAACCUGGUUUUGCUCCUCUUUUAAGCCACAACACAGGCAAAGAAGAGAAACAGAAAGAAAUCCCUGCCAUUCCUCCCUCCCAGUUCAGGUCUCUGGGAAUGAAUAAGCUUUCUUUUUCAUCAGCAGAAGCAGGAGGAAUGUCAGGAAGCUUCAUCUUGCUAAUAGGACUGUAAAGCGCCUUGCAGUCCUUCCUUUGUUGUUGAUAAAAUAUUCAGGAGCCUGGAAGAGAGUGCAACAUCCAGAGCUAUUCAGAAGCCUGUUACAUACGUUUUCCACACUGCAAAACUUUUUUUUUUUUUUUCAUUAAGUCACCGCCAGUCCUCCUACAAGAAGGGGAAGGAAAAUGAAGAAAACAUUGUGUGUUCUUUCCCUCCUCUAUUACCCCAUAAAGACUUAAUUUGUCCAUCUA